GGAAGUAAAAGUCAUAACAAGGUUUCCGUAGGUGAACCUGCGGAAGGAUCAUUACAAAAUGUUAUGGGAUGUCCUAACGGGCACCCAAGCAAGCACAUCCAUAUUAAACUUUUGAAACAAUUACUAGUCUGAUAAGGCCAUAUGCUGUAAAAAUUUAAAUAUAUUAAAACUUUCAACAACGGAUCUCUUGGCUCUC
Molecule: unclassified non-coding RNA, 196 nt
Filed under: plant metagenome
Description: partial contains small subunit ribosomal RNA, internal transcribed spacer 1, and 5.8S ribosomal RNA
Rfam family: Eukaryotic small subunit ribosomal RNA (bases 1-54)
Source: RNAcentral